This 331-nucleotide small RNA is filed under the name Macaca nemestrina (pig-tailed macaque). Its description in RNAcentral is "Metazoan signal recognition particle RNA (ENSMNEG00000025107.1)". It matches the Rfam family "Metazoan signal recognition particle RNA". Rfam says of the family: The signal recognition particle (SRP) is a universally conserved ribonucleoprotein. It is involved in the co-translational targeting of proteins to membranes. The record is from RNAcentral. Lineage: Eukaryota; Metazoa; Chordata; Mammalia; Primates; Cercopithecidae.
UCUGGGUGCAGUGGCAUGCGUACCUGUAGUCCUGGCCACUUGGGGGACUGAGGCAGGAGGCUCACUUGAGCCCAGGAGUUCAGAGUUGUAGCCGAUUAGGUGUCUGCACUAAGCUUGCCAUCAAUAUAGUGACUUCCUGGGAGUGGAGGACGACAGGUUUCCUAAGGAGGGGUGAACUGGUCCAGGUUGGAAACAAGGGAAUGUUAAAAAUAUCAUGGGCACGGUAGCUCACACACCUGUAAUCCUAGCACUUUGGGAGGCUGCAGCAGGAGGAUCAAUUGAGCCCAGGAGUUGGAGAUCAGCCUGAGUAAUGCAGUGAGACCCUGUCCCU